RNAcentral lists this ribosomal RNA (253 nucleotides) under uncultured bacterium. RNAcentral's name for it is "partial 16S ribosomal RNA". It matches the Rfam family "Bacterial small subunit ribosomal RNA", at positions 524 to 776 of the family's 1533-position model. The record is from RNAcentral.
UACGAAGGGGGCUAGCGUUGCUCGGAAUUACUGGGCGUAAAGGGAGCGUAGGCGGACAUUUAAGUCAGGGGUGAAAUCCCAGAGCUCAACUCUGGAACUGCCUUUGAUACUGGAUGUCUUGAGUGUGAGAGAGGUAAGUGGAACUCCGAGUGUAGAGGUGAAAUUCGUAGAUAUUCGGAAGAACACCAGUGGCGAAGGCGACUUACUGGCUCAUUACUGACGCUGAGGCUCGAAAGCGUGGGGAGCAAACAGG